This 465-nucleotide ribosomal RNA is filed under the name uncultured bacterium. Its description in RNAcentral is "partial 16S ribosomal RNA". It matches the Rfam family "Bacterial small subunit ribosomal RNA", at positions 28 to 507 of the family's 1533-position model. The record is from RNAcentral.
GAUGAACGCUGGCGGCGUGCUUAACACAUGCAAGUCGAACGGAAAGGCUCAAGCUUGCUUGGGUACUCGAGUGGCGAACGGGUGAGUAACACGUGGGUGAUCUGCCCUGCACUUCGGGAUAAGCCUGGGAAACUGGGUCUAAUACCGGAUAGGACCACAUUUUGGAUGGUGUGGUGGAAAGUUUUUCGGUGUGGGAUGAGCUCGCGGCCUAUCAGCUUGUUGGUGGGGUAAUGGCCUACCAAGGCGUCGACGGGUAGCCGGCCUGAGAGGGUGUACGGCCACAUUGGGACUGAGAUACGGCCCAGACUCCUACGGGAGGCAGCAGUGGGGAAUAUUGCACAAUGGGCGCAAGCCUGAUGCAGCGACGCCGCGUGGGGGAUGACGGCCUUCGGGUUGUAAACUCCUUUCGCUAGGGACGAAGCGCAAGUGACGGUACCUGGAGAAGAAGCACCGGCUAACUACGUG